Molecule: ribosomal RNA, 1393 nt
Filed under: Lactiplantibacillus plantarum
Lineage: Bacteria; Bacillati; Bacillota; Bacilli; Lactobacillales; Lactobacillaceae
Description: bacterial SSU rRNA
Rfam family: Bacterial small subunit ribosomal RNA
Source: RNAcentral
UCUGGUAUUGAUUGGUGCUUGCAUCAUGAUUUACAUUUGAGUGAGUGGCGAACUGGUGAGUAACACGUGGGAAACCUGCCCAGAAGCGGGGGAUAACACCUGGAAACAGAUGCUAAUACCGCAUAACAACUUGGACCGCAUGGUCCGAGCUUGAAAGAUGGCUUCGGCUAUCACUUUUGGAUGGUCCCGCGGCGUAUUAGCUAGAUGGUGGGGUAACGGCUCACCAUGGCAAUGAUACGUAGCCGACCUGAGAGGGUAAUCGGCCACAUUGGGACUGAGACACGGCCCAAACUCCUACGGGAGGCAGCAGUAGGGAAUCUUCCACAAUGGACGAAAGUCUGAUGGAGCAACGCCGCGUGAGUGAAGAAGGGUUUCGGCUCGUAAAACUCUGUUGUUAAAGAAGAACAUAUCUGAGAGUAACUGUUCAGGUAUUGACGGUAUUUAACCAGAAAGCCACGGCUAACUACGUGCCAGCAGCCGCGGUAAUACGUAGGUGGCAAGCGUUGUCCGGAUUUAUUGGGCGUAAAGCGAGCGCAGGCGGUUUUUUAAGUCUGAUGUGAAAGCCUUCGGCUCAACCGAAGAAGUGCAUCGGAAACUGGGAAACUUGAGUGCAGAAGAGGACAGUGGAACUCCAUGUGUAGCGGUGAAAUGCGUAGAUAUAUGGAAGAACACCAGUGGCGAAGGCGGCUGUCUGGUCUGUAACUGACGCUGAGGCUCGAAAGUAUGGGUAGCAAACAGGAUUAGAUACCCUGGUAGUCCAUACCGUAAACGAUGAAUGCUAAGUGUUGGAGGGUUUCCGCCCUUCAGUGCUGCAGCUAACGCAUUAAGCAUUCCGCCUGGGGAGUACGGCCGCAAGGCUGAAACUCAAAGGAAUUGACGGGGGCCCGCACAAGCGGUGGAGCAUGUGGUUUAAUUCGAAGCUACGCGAAGAACCUUACCAGGUCUUGACAUACUAUGCAAAUCUAAGAGAUUAGACGUUCCCUUCGGGGACAUGGAUACAGGUGGUGCAUGGUUGUCGUCAGCUCGUGUCGUGAGAUGUUGGGUUAAGUCCCGCAACGAGCGCAACCCUUAUUAUCAGUUGCCAGCAUUAAGUUGGGCACUCUGGUGAGACUGCCGGUGACAAACCGGAGGAAGGUGGGGAUGACGUCAAAUCAUCAUGCCCCUUAUGACCUGGGCUACACACGUGCUACAAUGGAUGGUACAACGAGUUGCGAACUCGCGAGAGUAAGCUAAUCUCUUAAAGCCAUUCUCAGUUCGGAUUGUAGGCUGCAACUCGCCUACAUGAAGUCGGAAUCGCUAGUAAUCGCGGAUCAGCAUGCCGCGGUGAAUACGUUCCCGGGCCUUGUACACACCGCCCGUCACACCAUGAGAGUUUGUAACACCCAAAGUCGGU